This 520-nucleotide ribosomal RNA is filed under the name uncultured Diversispora. RNAcentral describes it as "SSU rRNA". It matches the Rfam family "Eukaryotic small subunit ribosomal RNA", at positions 569 to 1087 of the family's 1831-position model. Lineage: Eukaryota; Fungi; Glomeromycota; Glomeromycetes; Diversisporales; Diversisporaceae. The record is from RNAcentral.
AGCAGCCGCGGUAAUUCCAGCUCCAAUAGCGUAUAUUAAAGUUGUUGCAGUUAAAAAGCUCGUAGUUGAACUUCGGGGUUUACCCAUUGGUCAGGCUUAAUUGUCUGUACUGGUGAGAUAAAUCUCUACCUUCUGAGGAACUUUCAUGUCAUUAAUUUGGUGUGAUUGGAAAUCAGGACUGUUACUUUGAAAAAAUUAGAGUGUUUAAAGCAGGCUAACGUCUGAAUACAUUAGCAUGGAAUAAUGAAAUAGGACGGACUGAUUCUAUUUCGUUGGUUUCUAGGAUCACCGUAAUGAUUAAUAGGGAUAGUUGGGGGCAUUAGUAUUCAAUUGUCAGAGGUGAAAUUCUUGGAUUUAUUGAAGACUAACUACUGCGAAAGCAUUUGCCAAGGAUGUUUUCAUUAAUCAAGAACGAAAGUUAGGGGAUCGAAGACGAUCAGAUACCGUCGUAGUCUUAACCAUAAACUAUGCCGACUAGGGAUCGGACGAAGUUAAUUUUAUAAUGACGCGUUCGGGCACC